Molecule: ribosomal RNA, 821 nt
Filed under: Diptacus sp. 18sr74
Lineage: Eukaryota; Metazoa; Arthropoda; Arachnida; Trombidiformes; Diptilomiopidae
Description: partial 18S ribosomal RNA
Rfam family: Eukaryotic small subunit ribosomal RNA
Source: RNAcentral
ACAAGCCUGAGAAACGGCUAGUAGGACUAAGGUCUGCAGCAGGCGCGAAACUUACACAAUGCUAGAUUACAAUUAGCGAUGUAAUGAAAAAAAAUAACGAUGUACUUCCUUCUAAACAAGGUAAUACAAUUGGAAUGAGACGACUAUAAACCAGUUAGUCCAGUAACAAAUGGAGGGCAAGUCUGGUGCCAGCAGCCGCGGUAAUUCCAGCUCCAUUAACAUACAUUAAAGUUGUUGCGGUUAAAAAGCUCGUAAUUGAAUUUUAGGCGGGCUCUAUUGGGAUGCAAUCGUUAAGACCUACUUGGUUUCCGAAUCCAGUUAGGUUGGUUGGCAUCGCCCUAUAUGAACCCGCUGUUUCGUCACUUAAUCUAGUGCGAAGCGGGCUGGUACGAGGAUUCAAUAUUCUCUAUUGUCCUGUUUCAGCAUGUUUACCUUGAGAAAAUUAAAGUGCUCACAGCAGGCAGUUGGGGUGUAAAAACUCCUUUAUGCUUGAAUAAUGUUGCAUGGAAUAAUAAAAUACGGCCUCCGUUCUAUUCUGUUGGUCUUAUAGAACAACAAACAAGUUGGUUAAAGCGAUCAAAAGUCCUUCUGCGGAUGUGGUUCAUUGGUGGCUUUUUAGUUGCUGACUUCAACUUUAGUCUAGCUGUGUUACCUAGGGCCUUAAAAUCUUAGUGUCGCGCUAGCUUUAUGUUGGUCUUCUUAACUAUCUAGUUUUGCCUUAUGUUCCAUUUAAAGCAUCCCUUAAUGGGCUAGCUUUCUAAUCAACUGACGCAAUGGUUAAAAGAAAUAGUCGCGGCGGCAUCAGUACUGCAUCGUGAGAG